GCCUGGGUGGCUCAGUCGGUUGAGCGUCCGACUUCAGCUCAGGUCAUGAUCUCCGGGUUCGUGGGUUUGAGCCCCACGUCAGGCU
RNAcentral lists this transfer RNA (85 nucleotides) under Felis catus (domestic cat). It matches the Rfam family "tRNA". Rfam says of the family: Transfer RNA (tRNA) molecules are approximately 80 nucleotides in length. Their secondary structure includes four short double-helical elements and three loops (D, anti-codon, and T loops). The record is from Rfam by way of RNAcentral. Lineage: Eukaryota; Metazoa; Chordata; Mammalia; Carnivora; Felidae.